Molecule: ribosomal RNA, 539 nt
Filed under: Trigonopterus sp. 918 AR-2022a
Lineage: Eukaryota; Metazoa; Arthropoda; Insecta; Coleoptera; Curculionidae
Description: partial large subunit ribosomal RNA
Rfam family: Bacterial large subunit ribosomal RNA
Source: RNAcentral
GGCUUGUUGAAUAUAAUUUUAAGUCAGACCUGCCCACUGAGGAGUUAAAUGGCCGCGGUAUAUUGACCGUGCAAAGGUAGCAUAAUCACUAGUUUUUUAAUUGAAAGCUUGAAUGAAAGGUUCGAUGAAAAGAUCUCUGUCUCUAUGAAAAUUUAUUAGAAUUUUAUUUUUAAGUAAAAACGCUUAAAUGUGUGUGGAAGACGAGAAGACCCUAUAGAGUUUUAUAUUUGUGUAAGAAAUCUAAUUUGUGGAAUUUUAAAAAUUUAUUUUUUAUUUAAAAUAUUUGGUUGGGGUGAUGGAAAAAUUUACUGAACUUUUUUUGUAUUUUAACAUUGAUUUAUGAUUAUUUGAUCCUAUAAUUAAGAUUAAAAGAUUAAAUUACCUUAGGGAUAACAGCGUAAUUUUUUAUAGAGUUCUUAUCGAAAGAAGAGAUUGCGACCUCGAUGUUGGAUUAAAAUAAAUUGUUGGUGUAGAAGCUAAUAUAUUAGGUCUGUUCGACCUUUAAAAUUUUACAUGAUCUGAGUUUAGACCGGCGUGAG